CCUACGGGAGGCAGCAGUAGGGAAUUUUCGGCAAUGGGGGAAACCCUGACCGAGCAACGCCGCGUGAGCGAAGAAGGCCUUCGGGUCGUAAAGCUCUGUUGUAAAGGAAGAACGGCGCAUACAGGAAAUGGUAUGCGAGUGACGGUACUUUACCAGAAAGCCACGGCUAACUACGUGCCAGCAGCCGCGGUAAUACGUAGGUGGCGAGCGUUAUCCGGAAUCAUUGGGCGUAAAGAGGGAGCAGGCGGCCGCAAGGGUCUGUGGUGAAAGACCGAAGCUAAACUUCGGUAAGCCAUGGAAACCGGGCGGCUAGAGUGCGGAAGAGGAUCGUGGAAUUCCAUGUGUAGCGGUGAAAUGCGUAGAUAUAUGGAGGAACACCAGUGGCGAAGGCGACGGUCUGGGCCGCAACUGACGCUCAUUCCCG
Molecule: ribosomal RNA, 424 nt
Filed under: uncultured Clostridium sp.
Lineage: Bacteria; Bacillati; Bacillota; Clostridia; Eubacteriales; Clostridiaceae
Description: bacterial SSU rRNA
Rfam family: Bacterial small subunit ribosomal RNA
Source: RNAcentral